Molecule: long non-coding RNA, 478 nt
Filed under: Mus musculus (house mouse)
Lineage: Eukaryota; Metazoa; Chordata; Mammalia; Rodentia; Muridae
Description: long non-coding RNA chr13:23104295-23104773
Source: RNAcentral
CAUUCCACCAGAAAAUCAGCAUGAAAAUGUCACGCUGAGUAAGAUUGCUCAGUACAGCUACUCUCUACAAGAGAGCCAGAAGGACAAACACUCUUUCCUCAGUCUCAGGAUCCUACUUGAUACUGUUGCAGAGAACCAUGGAGGGAGCAAUGGCUAUGUAAUAUUUCUUCUCCAUAAGAACUACCAACAUGUCCUCUACCUCCAAGCUUCUCUACAGAACUCCCCUUGAGCUGAGAGCUGCUUGCUGCCCUCCUCCUGAUGUGUUUUCUUUUCUUGUAUGGAUAGAUUGUGGUUUUUUGCAUACAUUUAAGUUUCUCCUUAGCAAACAAUUCCUUGAUGCUAAACAUUUGAAUAUUUCUGACCCUUGGUCAUGUGAUUCUCAGGCCUCUUGUGCUGAUUCACUGAUCUGGACAUCAGAGUGAAUGUUGCCAAGCACUCUGGGAGAUGAAGACUUUGAAAAGUCUCAUUUGUCACAUUC